This 483-nucleotide ribosomal RNA is filed under the name uncultured bacterium. RNAcentral describes it as "bacterial SSU rRNA". It matches the Rfam family "Bacterial small subunit ribosomal RNA", at positions 28 to 511 of the family's 1533-position model. The record is from RNAcentral.
GAUGAACGCUAGCGGCAGGCCUAAUACAUGCAAGUCGAGGGGCAGCGGGGUAGCAAUACUGCCGGCGACCGGCGCACGGGUGCGUAACACGUAUGCAACCUACCUUAAACUGGGGGAUAGCCCGGGGAAACUCGGAUUAAUACCCCAUAAUACAUUUGGAACACAUGUUUUGAUUGUUAAAGAUUUAUCGGUUUAAGAUGGGCAUGCGUUCGAUUAGCUAGUUGGCGGGGUAAUGGCUCACCAAGGCUACGAUCGAUAGGGGGUCUGAGAGGAUGAUCCCCACACUGGUACUGAGAUACGGACCAGACUCCUACGGGAGGCAGCAGUAGGGAAUAUUGGUCAAUGGAGGCAACUCUGAACCAGCCAUGCCGCGUGUAGGAAGAAGGCGUUCUGCGUUGUAAACUACUUUGAUUGGGAACAAAUGACUCUUGCGAGAGUAGCUGAGUGUACCAAUAGAAUAAGCCACGGCUAACUACGUGCCAG